RNAcentral lists this small nuclear RNA (21 nucleotides) under Arabidopsis thaliana (thale cress). Its description in RNAcentral is "snRNA_08703". The record is from RNAcentral. Lineage: Eukaryota; Viridiplantae; Streptophyta; Magnoliopsida; Brassicales; Brassicaceae.
UGGCUAAGUCCGUUCGGCGGA